CCUCUGUGCGAGGAUCAAUUGGCAAGUUCACAGGAGACUGUGAAUGAGUCGGAGUCGGAAUCUGAUUCUGAGACCCACAGUUAGAAAUGUCGUCAACUUUUUGUUCAGCUGUCUGAUCUACUACCUUAACAACUUUUAGCUCCUUUUUGUUUGGCUCCAGUCCGUGGCUCUUGUUAAUGGUAGUCUCUUGAGAGCCUUUCAAUCCUUCUGAAGGAGAAGAAGCCUUUAUAGUGUCAUUUGAUGUCUCUUGUGAUUUCCCUCUCUGACCAGGAGGACUAGGGGACCUCGAACUGCCAUUCCCAUUCUUCUUCUUAGGCAAGGGAUCUACUCUCAGACAAACAGGAGGUAACUUGGCCAUCCUUGGGGAGGACGGAGACUGCCUUUUAGCACUGUCUGAAGGUUUCUUCUUUCCACCAUCUUCUCCAUGUUUAGUGGCAUUGCCUUCCCACUUCCCCACAAAGUUUUCUGAG
RNAcentral lists this long non-coding RNA (470 nucleotides) under Vitis vinifera (wine grape). Its description in RNAcentral is "long non-coding RNA (VVIN_LNC005227)". The record is from RNAcentral. Lineage: Eukaryota; Viridiplantae; Streptophyta; Magnoliopsida; Vitales; Vitaceae.